RNAcentral lists this ribosomal RNA (509 nucleotides) under Listeria monocytogenes. RNAcentral's name for it is "partial 23S ribosomal RNA". It matches the Rfam family "Bacterial large subunit ribosomal RNA", at positions 904 to 1412 of the family's 2925-position model. Lineage: Bacteria; Bacillati; Bacillota; Bacilli; Caryophanales; Listeriaceae. The record is from RNAcentral.
AGAGCACUGUUUGGACUAGGGGCCCUUCUCGGGUUACCGAAUUCAGAUAAACUCCGAAUGCCAUGUACUUAUACUCGGGAGUCAGACUGCGAGUGAUAAGAUCCGUAGUCGAAAGGGAAACAGCCCAGACCACCAGUUAAGGUCCCCAAAUAUAUGUUAAGUGGAAAAGGAUGUGGGGUUGCUUAGACAACCAGGAUGUUGGCUUAGAAGCAGCCACCAUUGAAAGAGUGCGUAAUAGCUCACUGGUCGAGUGACCCCGCGCCGAAAAUGUACCGGGGCUAAACAUAUUACCGAAACUGUGGAUGAACCUCUUUAGAGGUUCGUGGUAGGAGAGCGUUCUAAGGGCGGUGAAGUCAGACCGGAAGGACUGGUGGAGCGCUUAGAAGUGAGAAUGCCGGUAUGAGUAGCGAAAGAAGGGUGAGAAUCCCUUCCACCGAAUAUCUAAGGUUUCCUGAGGAAGGCUCGUCCGCUCAGGGUUAGUCGGGACCUAAGCCGAGGCCGAUAGGCGU